This 395-nucleotide ribosomal RNA is filed under the name uncultured bacterium. Its description in RNAcentral is "partial 16S ribosomal RNA". It matches the Rfam family "Bacterial small subunit ribosomal RNA", at positions 523 to 918 of the family's 1533-position model. The record is from RNAcentral.
AUACGUAGGGUGCAAGCGUUAAUCGGAAUUACUGGGCGUAAAGCGUGCGCAGGCGGUUUUGUAAGGCAGUGGUGAAAUCCCCGGGCUCAACCUGGGAACUGCCAUUGUGACUGCAAGGCUGGAGUGCGGCAGAGGGGGAUGGGAUUCCGCGAUUAGCAGUGAAAUGCGUAGAUAUGCGGAGGAACACCGAUGGCGAAGGCAAUCCCCUGGGCCUGCACUGACGCUCAUGCACGAAAGCGUGGGGAGCAAACAGGAUUAGAUACCCUGGUAGUCCACGCCCUAAACGAUGUCAACUGGUUGUUGGGGAUUUAUUUUCUCAGUAACGAAGCUAACGCGUGAAGUUGACCGCCUGGGGAGUACGGCCGCAAGGUUAAAACUCAAAUGAAUUGACGGGG